This 246-nucleotide long non-coding RNA is filed under the name Nicotiana benthamiana. Its description in RNAcentral is "long non-coding RNA (NBEN_LNC034205)". Lineage: Eukaryota; Viridiplantae; Streptophyta; Magnoliopsida; Solanales; Solanaceae. The record is from RNAcentral.
UAUUGAAAUAAUUAAAACCCAAUUCUAAGUGCGUUUACCCAAACGUCAAAACCCUGAUCAACUCUUCCAACUUAAAGCUUCUAAAAUAAGAAUCAUCCUUCCAAAUCAAUCUCGAACUACUUGAAAAAUAAAACCAACCAUAUAUGCAAGUAAUAAUACAUAAUAUGAAGCUACUCGAAGUCUCAAACUACCGAAUGAAACGCUAAAGCUCAAAACGGCUAGUCAGGUCGUUACAAGAAUCAUCAG